Gossypium arboreum is the source of this 543-nucleotide long non-coding RNA. RefSeq lists it as uncharacterized. Lineage: Eukaryota; Viridiplantae; Streptophyta; Magnoliopsida; Malvales; Malvaceae. The transcript is spliced from 2 exons. The record is from RefSeq and is a predicted model, not a curated record.
UAUCGUUUUUUAAAAAAAAAAAGAUAGAAUCCUCUGAAAAGGACUAGGAGCUGGCCAUCGGAGUUCCGUGGAACCUCCGUCCACUAGUUCCCACGCGCCUACGCACCGCCGUGCACGGUGGUCGGAGGGCUAAAAACCCUUCCCUUUUCUAGCAUGAUACAGGUAUCCCAAUGAUCUCGGCGUUAACGGUGGUGCCAAGGCUAGAAGGGAGGCCUGAUAUUGCGGUGGACGGACGCAUUGAUGGCGCGUCAGUAUGCAUUGAUGGCCUCGAUCUGGGGAGUUGCACCGACGCUCCUCAAGCUUCGAGAACUGCUAUGCCCGAGGGAAAGAGCUAGGGUUGAAAACCCUAGCUGAUAAUUUUAGGUUUUUGGGCCUCUGUUAUUCAGGUCCAGUUCAGGUCUGGGCUUCGGGUAUAUUUGGGCUAAGGUUGUAAUUGUAAUGAGUCAAGGGUGUAAACGGGUUAAGGGAUAGUUUAAAGGGUAUUUGGGCUACUGAGUGUAGGUUUUAACUUUUGGGCUGUAAAGGGACUUUUUAACAAAUAAA